AUGUUCAGGAAGUGUUUUCCAAAACAUACCUUAAAAGGCAUUAGUUGGACACAGUGAUCUCUGCCCUUGAGUAUAUUCUUGCUGGACUCCCAGGAUGGCUCAAGAGAACAGGACACGGAUGACUUCAGGCCGUUGUUGUCCAAGUCGCUUCAUGGUCGCGCUCCCAUGGGAAGGCUGCGUCACACAGGAUUACGAGCACAGACAGGAG
This 208-nucleotide long non-coding RNA is filed under the name Fukomys damarensis (Damara mole-rat). RNAcentral describes it as "lncRNA (ENSFDAG00000024784.1)". Lineage: Eukaryota; Metazoa; Chordata; Mammalia; Rodentia; Bathyergidae. The record is from RNAcentral.